Long non-coding RNA from Megalobrama amblycephala (Wuchang bream), 1583 nucleotides. RefSeq lists it as uncharacterized. NCBI's taxonomy places the organism in Eukaryota, Metazoa, Chordata, Actinopteri, Cypriniformes, Xenocyprididae. The transcript is spliced from 7 exons. The record is from RefSeq and is a predicted model, not a curated record.
UAAUGUAGCAUUUCAUUAUUUUAUACGCUUUCAUGUAUUUUAAACGCGCUUCACUGCGCGCUCAGGUGAUUCAUUCAUGUUCACGCGCGCGGCAGGGGAGGGGGUCUCGUACCUGUGGGAGUGGGUGAAUCCGCCAUGUUUGUGCGGAUUGGAGUGGACGCCAGCAAAACAACGGAUUAUUUACCACGAGAUAUUAAUGUAUGGAGUCACGUCGAAAAAACAGUUCUGGUAAGCAUCGACGCACGUUUACAUUUGUAGUAUUUUUACUUAGCAGACGCUUAUCAAGGAACUUGUUAACUUCACGUGACUGCCAUGAACGCGGCUUUCUUGGCUGUCUGAAAACUUUCGGUAUGCUACUACAGCUAAUAAACGGACAAAAUCUUUUUCAUCUUUGAUCGAAGCAUUGUUAUGUGGAUCUCGAGUGUUUACACUGCACUAAACUUUGACGAGCAACACUCUGAGCUGAGGAAGAGGAUGAUGGCGGUCCUGCAUUCACGAGGAGAAAGAUCAGUAAUCAAGAGAAGCGUUAUCAUCGCUGAAGAAAUGGCAGAUUUUAAUCCCCAGACACAGAGCAGUGCAAGCCCUGAAGAAAUAACACCAUAGACAUCGUCUUCUGACUGAACUAGCAAGGAGCUGUUGGAGUCAUUGAGAAAGCUAGUGGAAUGUAAACCUGAGUAAACGCCACUACUUUAAUGAUUAUUUCUAAGUUUACUGAGCGAUGUAAACUGCUGUCAUCCACGUCACAUCAUUGCUCUAACCAACGUUACCUGAAGAAUCUUUUCAGCGUAGCAGAUAUUCACAAGCGUCUGGAGCCAACAUAAAAUGCUGAACUGGAUACUUACUGAAGAGUGAGUUUCAACACUUAAGGUUUGUACAAAGUUACACCAUAUCACUGAAAAUGGCACGCAUCAACAAGAUUUCAGAGACUCUGCGUGACAUUUUAAAUGUUUGUGAUCUUCAGGGUGUGCAUGAUUUCACCAUGAAACGCACCGUAGCCCUCCGUGCUCCUCGGUGUACCUGUGAGGAGGACCUACAAUUCUUCAAGACUUGAAAUAUAGGAGGCGUUGGGAGAACCAGACAUCACUGAUUCUGUCAUUGUGGUCAACGAAACGAAAGCACAAGUCCUUCAAGCACUGCAGUUGUGAUAGAAGAUGAUCUUCAGUUUUAUAAUAAAAGACUAAUCUUCAAAAAAAUCUUCAAUUGUACAGCUGGAGGUUUAUUUUAUUUUUUUAUUUUUUUAGGUUUUGUUGUUGUUUUUUUGUCUUUUGAGUUAGUUUUUUUAUGUAAUGAAGUCCUGCAGAGGUGCCUGGUCCUGUUCCUGGAGAUCCUCCUGCCUGCAGAGUUCAGCUAAGUUCUUCAGCUCAUUAUUUUGCUAAGUACAACAGCAAAACUUUUUCCAUUUACCAAUGUAUUUAAAACAUUAAGUUUGUCUAUACUUAUUCAAUUUUACACUCUGUGUAUAAGUAAAUACUACUGUAUAAUUUUUUUCGAAAUGUGGUAAACAUUUACAAUAAUUGUAUAACAACUGCUGUUAUUUGAUGUAAUAUAGUUUUGUAAUUGUUUUGUAAAUAAAAUGUUUUCAU